Molecule: long non-coding RNA, 112 nt
Organism: Empidonax traillii (willow flycatcher)
Lineage: Eukaryota; Metazoa; Chordata; Aves; Passeriformes; Tyrannidae
Exons: 3
Source: RefSeq, a predicted model, not a curated record
GGGCAGGGGGGGAGAGGAGGCAAUUUCUCUCUGCUAUUGCUUUGAACUGUUCUGUUGGUAUUGCUGGUUUUGCUGCUGUAUUUCUUGUCAGUGAACUGGAAGAGCAGACGUC